RNAcentral lists this ribosomal RNA (697 nucleotides) under uncultured bacterium. RNAcentral's name for it is "bacterial SSU rRNA". It matches the Rfam family "Bacterial small subunit ribosomal RNA", at positions 104 to 788 of the family's 1533-position model. The record is from RNAcentral.
GGGUGAGUAACACGUGGGUAACCUGCCUUAAAGUGGGGGAUAACACUUGGAAACAGGUGCUAAUACCGCAUAACCAUCAAAACCACCUGGUUUUGAUGUUAAAGAUGGUUCUGCUAUCGCUUUAAGAUGGACCCGCGGCGUAUUAGCUAGUUGGUGAGGUAACGGCUUACCAAGGCAAUGAUACGUAGCCGAACUGAGAGGUUGAUCGGCCACAUUGGGACUGAGACACGGCCCAAACUCCUACGGGAGGCAGCAGUAGGGAAUCUUCCACAAUGGACGAAAGUCUGAUGGAGCAACGCCGCGUGAGUGAAGAAGGUUUUCGGAUCGUAAAACUCUGUUGUCAGAGAAGAACGUGUGUGAGAGUAACUGUUCACGCAGUGACGGUAUCUGACCAGAAAGUCACGGCUAACUACGUGCCAGCGGCCGCGGUAAUACGUAGGUGGCAAGCGUUGUCCGGAUUUAUUGGGCGUAAAGGGAACGCAGGCGGUCUUUUAAGUCUGAUGUGAAAGCCUUCGGCUUAACCGAAGUCGGGCAUUGGAGACUGGGAGACUUGAGUGCAGAAGAGGAGAGUGGAACUCCAUGUGUAGCGGUGAAAUGCGUAGAUAUAUGGAAGAACACCAGUGGCGAAAGCGGCUCUCUGGUCUGUAACUGACGCUGAGGUUCGAAAGCGUGGGUAGCAAACAGGAUUAGAUACCCU